CACCUCAUCUUCAAUAGCCCAAAUGUUCUCUCUAUCACAUUUCUAGCAGUUGAAUGGCGCAAAUUGAAUAGUUCUUUGGCAGUGGAUGGGUUAUGCCCUUGAGCAGCCCACUCAUUCAAGUGGUAGCGAGUGGAUCGAUAUGGAGCAAGAAAGCCCGGUCCAUUGGUGUAUCCCGCAUCUACUAGAUAGUAUUUCCCACUUGGAAUAACAAAUGCAUCGUCCCGAGACAUUGCAUCACGUAGCACACGUGAAUCUGAAGCUGAUCCUUCCCAUCCCGCUAAGACGUAAACAAAUUUCAUGUGACGAUCACAAACCCCUAAAACAUUGGUGGUAAUCUGUUGCUUCCUAUUCCUAUACCUCCCUUGGUCAGCUAAAGGCACAAAAACGUCAAUGUGUGUACCAUCUAAUGCUCCAAGGCAAUCUUCAAACCACUUCCACUUGGAAUCCUCAGGUUGUACAGCUGAUGGAUCAGGAAGCUUGAUAAAUUCAUGGCAUAAUGAUAGAAUACCUCUAAGCACCUCAUUGAAGUGACGGCAGAUUGGCUCAAGUGACCAUCCAUAUGAGCUACGAAUCAUCCUCAUCUUAGUGCCAUGACCCACUACAAGCAAAAAGAUUGCUACCUUUUCUUCUACCGACACAUUCUUGUUAUCACACAUACCACAUCUCUCACGUAAGAUGGCACAUAGGUCAUAAAAUGAUCUCUUAGUUAGGCGCAAACUAUCAUAGCAAUAGACAUUUGAUCCUUGGUACAGAUUUCUUAGCAUUUGUUUGCGUGUAGCUACAUCUCUCUCAACCACUUCAUUCGGAUCAACAAUAUGUCUAGGUCUCUUACGCUGAUACCAGUGCACAAUCAUGCUCAUGACAGCAGAAACAAAUAAAGCAGCCACCCUUUUUCUCUUUUUCCUACUCAUCUCUCUCAUUUGCUCCAUGCUUGUAUUAACCAAGUCUAUGUUGUUGUCAGGCAUCUAAAGCACAUAUGCAAAAAGGAAUAUUUUAUUUGACCAGAAACAAAGCAGUACAUACAAUAAUACAUUGCCACAUAGCAAAACAGAGUUCUUUUAAUUUAGUUCUUUACAUCACUGUCAAGCAAACAAGCAGCAGCAAAAGAUCUGACCAUAGUAAGCUGACCACAUUAGCAAAAGAUCUGACCAUAGUAAGCUUCCUUAGGAAAUUGUGUUGAUGGCUGCACACAAGGUGCUCCAGGAACUACACAUCUUAGAGUCAACUGAACAAAUCAAUAUCCUAAUUCCUCCCAGACCUAGAACUAAUAACCUGUGAACUCAGAACCUCACUCCUAGCUACAAAGGGGAAAAAUGAAUUGCAGAGGAUGCCUUGCUGACUACUGAAACAAUAGAAACGAUAUCAUAUGUAAGGUAUUAAAAAAAACAAGGACUCAAUCUGAGGGUGGGUCUUUCGCAGCUGCUCUAAAUAACUCUAUCAUAUGUAAGGUAUUGUACUCUGACCACUUGGUGGCAGGGAUAAUUUAUGUAACCUACCAAGAUUCAACUCUACCAAAAUGAAACUUAGGCUCACUGUCACUACGGCCUGAAAAUAAUGGGCGCUCAGACUCUGAAAAAAGUGAGAAGAAACGAAGAAAGGCAACGAUCUGGUGAGUUAAGCCUGGACAGUCCAUGCAAUUCUAAUGGGGUGAACUCCAAAGGUGAUGAGUCUAACCAAUCAGCAUUUAUAUAACUGAAUCUUCAUGCAUACGAAUAUGACCAGGACGUCGUAUUCCACAGAAGAAGGCAUGCAGGAGCAAUAUGAUGCAACGAGGAAAUAUCAAACAUGAGAAUCAAAAUGUACCAGACUAUCAUAUCUGACAACCAUCAGAUUUUGGAGGUGACAUUUCAAAAGGACCAAAAACUAUGAUUUUUCAACUAAGGAUCCACUCGCUAAUCUUUGAACUUACAAUGUAUCAAUGCCUCAGCAUAUCAGUUCCUUGCACCCUUCUUGAAGCCGCC
RNAcentral lists this long non-coding RNA (1961 nucleotides) under Setaria italica (foxtail millet). Its description in RNAcentral is "long non-coding RNA (SITA_LNC001115)". Lineage: Eukaryota; Viridiplantae; Streptophyta; Magnoliopsida; Poales; Poaceae. The record is from RNAcentral.